This 672-nucleotide ribosomal RNA is filed under the name Aurelia miyakei. RNAcentral describes it as "partial large subunit ribosomal RNA". It matches the Rfam family "Eukaryotic large subunit ribosomal RNA", at positions 414 to 894 of the family's 3401-position model. Lineage: Eukaryota; Metazoa; Cnidaria; Scyphozoa; Semaeostomeae; Ulmaridae. The record is from RNAcentral.
GGGAAGCGGAUGCAGUUAGCAAUGCUUCUGCGAGAUUCAGGCGGUCGCUCGGCCAGACGUGCAGUUGGCGGAUCUGAAUGGACUGUCGUUGCACGGCCGGGUCUUGUGCCCGUCGCACUUCUCGCUGGAGCGCGUCAACAGCUGCUGUGCCUGGUCGACACGGCCGGGUGGAAGGUGGGCAUCCAGCUUGCUGGCUGUCGUUAUAUCCACUCGUGCUUCCUAGAUCGGGCUUGGCAGAGGUGAGCGGUGCAUGCUCUCACUUUAUGGGAGGGCUGGCGUCCUGUCACGUUCACGUAGCUGGCUUGGAUGCACUGCUUGCAGUACGUUCUCGCCGGUGAAACGGCGUGCAGUCAACGCACACGAUGCACCAUGGUUGUUGGCGGCCAUAUGGCUUUAUCCGACCCGUCUUGAAACACGGACCAAGGAGUCUAACAUGUGCGCAAGUCCUGGGGUGACCGAAACCCAGAGGCGCAAUGAAAGUGAAGGCUGCCUGGCAGCUGAGGUGAGAUCCUUGCUCUACGCGGGUGAGGCGCAUCAUCGACCGACCUAUUCUACUCUUAGGAAGGUUUGAGUAAGAGCGUACAUGUUGGGACCCGAAAGAUGGUGAACUAUGCCUGAGUAGGGUGAAGCCAGAGGAAACUCUGGUGGAAGCUCGUAGCGAUUCUGACGUGC